This 429-nucleotide ribosomal RNA is filed under the name Verrucomicrobiota bacterium. RNAcentral describes it as "Verrucomicrobia bacterium partial 16S ribosomal RNA". It matches the Rfam family "Bacterial small subunit ribosomal RNA", at positions 355 to 776 of the family's 1533-position model. The record is from RNAcentral. Lineage: Bacteria; Pseudomonadati; Verrucomicrobiota.
UAGGGAAUCUUCCGCAAUGGACGAAAGUCUGACGGAGCAACGCCGCGUGAGUGAAGAAGGAUUUCGGUUCGUAAAACUCUGUUGUUAGGGAAGAAAAAAUGUAUAGUAACUAUAUACAAAAGAGACGGUACCUAACCAGAAAGCCACGGCUAACUACGUGCCAGCAGCCGCGGUAAUACGUAGGUGGCAAGCGUUGUCCGGAAUUAUUGGGCGUAAAGCGCGCGCAGGUGGUUUAGAAAGUCUGAUGUGAAAGCCCACGGCUCAACCGUGGAAGGUCAUUGGAAACUAAUAAACUUGAGUGCAGGAGAGAAAGGUGGAAUUCCUAGUGUAGCGGUGAAAUGCGUAGAGAUUAGGAGGAACACCGGUGGCGAAGGCGGCUUUUUGGCCUGCAACUGACACUGAGGCGCGAAAGCGUGGGGAGCAAACAGG